RNAcentral lists this microRNA precursor (126 nucleotides) under Myotis lucifugus (little brown bat). RNAcentral describes it as "mir-9193 microRNA precursor family". It matches the Rfam family "mir-9193 microRNA precursor family". The record is from Rfam by way of RNAcentral. Lineage: Eukaryota; Metazoa; Chordata; Mammalia; Chiroptera; Vespertilionidae.
CAUGCACCAGUGGGGUCCCUCAGCCUGGCCAGUGCCCUCUCACAAUCUGGGACCCCUCAUGGGAUGUCAGAGAGCCAGUUUCAGCCUGAUUCCACAGGCCAGGCUGAGGGACCCCACUGGUGCACA